GACGAACGCUGGCGGCGUGCCUAAUACAUGCAAGUAGAACGCUGAAGGAGGAGCUUGCUUCUCUGGAUGAGUUGCGAACGGGUGAGUAACGCGUAGGUAACCUGCCUGGUAGCGGGGGAUAACUAUUGGAAACGAUAGCUAAUACCGCAUAAUAGUAGAUGUCGCAUGACAUUUGCUUAAAAGGUGCAAUUGCAUCACUACCAGAUGGACCUGCGUUUUAUUAGCUAGUUGGUGAGGUAACGGCUCACCAAGGCAACGAUACAUAGCCGACCUGAGAGGGGGAGCGGCCACGAGGGGAUGGAGACACGGCCCAGACUCCUAAGGGAGGCAGCAGUAGGGAAUCUUGGGGAAUGGACGGAAGUCUGACCGAGCAACGCAGCGUGAGUGAAGAAGGUUUUCGGAUCGUAAAGCUCUGUUGUAAGAGAAGAACGAGUGUGAGAGUGGAAAGUUCACGCUGUGACGGUAUCUGAACAGAAAGGGACGGCUAACUACGUG
Molecule: ribosomal RNA, 495 nt
Filed under: uncultured bacterium
Lineage: Bacteria
Description: partial 16S ribosomal RNA
Rfam family: Bacterial small subunit ribosomal RNA
Source: RNAcentral